AGCAGAGUGGCACAGCAGAAGCGUGCUGGACCCGUAACCUAGAGAAUGAUGGAUCAAAACCAUCCUCUGCUA
This is a non-coding RNA of Takifugu rubripes (torafugu), 72 nucleotides long. NCBI's taxonomy places the organism in Eukaryota, Metazoa, Chordata, Actinopteri, Tetraodontiformes, Tetraodontidae. The record is from Rfam.